RNAcentral lists this ribosomal RNA (1471 nucleotides) under Neisseria meningitidis. RNAcentral describes it as "bacterial SSU rRNA". It matches the Rfam family "Bacterial small subunit ribosomal RNA". The record is from RNAcentral. Lineage: Bacteria; Pseudomonadati; Pseudomonadota; Betaproteobacteria; Neisseriales; Neisseriaceae.
UUGAACGCUGGCGGCAUGCUUUACACAUGCAAGUCGGACGGCAGCACAGAGAAGCUUGCUUCUUGGGUGGCGAGUGGCGAACGGGUGAGUAACAUAUCGGAACGUACCGAGUAGUGGGGGAUAACUGAUCGAAAGAUCAGCUAAUACCGCAUACGUCUUGAGAGGGAAAGCAGGGGACCUUCGGGCCUUGCGCUAUUCGAGCGGCCGAUAUCUGAUUAGCUAGUUGGUGGGGUAAAGGCCUACCAAGGCGACGAUCAGUAGCGGGUCUGAGAGGAUGAUCCGCCACACUGGGACUGAGACACGGCCCAGACUCCUACGGGAGGCAGCAGUGGGGAAUUUUGGACAAUGGGCGCAAGCCUGAUCCAGCCAUGCCGCGUGUCUGAAGAAGGCCUUCGGGUUGUAAAGGACUUUUGUCAGGGAAGAAAAGGCUGUUGCUAAUAUCAGCGGCUGAUGACGGUACCUGAAGAAUAAGCACCGGCUAACUACGUGCCAGCAGCCGCGGUAAUACGUAGGGUGCGAGCGUUAAUCGGAAUUACUGGGCGUAAAGCGGGCGCAGACGGUUACUUAAGCAGGAUGUGAAAUCCCCGGGCUCAACCCGGGAACUGCGUUCUGAACUGGGUGACUCGAGUGUGUCAGAGGGAGGUAGAAUUCCACGUGUAGCAGUGAAAUGCGUAGAGAUGUGGAGGAAUACCGAUGGCGAAGGCAGCCUCCUGGGACAACACUGACGUUCAUGCCCGAAAGCGUGGGUAGCAAACAGGAUUAGAUACCCUGGUAGUCCACGCCCUAAACGAUGUCAAUUAGCUGUUGGGCAACUUGAUUGCUUAGUAGCGUAGCUAACGCGUGAAAUUGACCGCCUGGGGAGUACGGUCGCAAGAUUAAAACUCAAAGGAAUUGACGGGGACCCGCACAAGCGGUGGAUGAUGUGGAUUAAUUCGAUGCAACGCGAAGAACCUUACCUGGUCUUGACAUGUACGGAAUCCUCCAGAGACGGAGGAGUGCCUUCGGGAGCCGUAACACAGGUGCUGCAUGGCUGUCGUCAGCUCGUGUCGUGAGAUGUUGGGUUAAAGUCCCGCAACGAGCGCAACCCUUGUCAUUAGUUGCCAUCAUUCANUUGGGCACUCUAAUGAGACUGCCGGUGACAAGCCGGAGGAAGGUGGGGAUGACGUCAAGUCCUCAUGGCCCUUAUGACCAGGGCUUCACACGUCAUACAAUGGUCGGUACAGAGGGUAGCCAAGCCGCGAGGCGGAGCCAAUCUCACAAAACCGAUCGUAGUCCGGAUUGCACUCUGCAACUCGAGUGCAUGAAGUCGGAAUCGCUAGUAAUCGCAGGUCAGCAUACUGCGGUGAAUACGUUCCCGGGUCUUGUACACACCGCCCGUCACACCAUGGGAGUGGGGGAUACCAGAAGUAGGUAGGGUAACCGCAAGGAGUCCGCUUACCACGGUAUGCUUAUGACUGGGGUGAAGUCGUAA